Long non-coding RNA from Magnolia sinica, 2296 nucleotides. RefSeq lists it as uncharacterized. The transcript has 2 exons. The record is from RefSeq and is a predicted model, not a curated record. NCBI's taxonomy places the organism in Eukaryota, Viridiplantae, Streptophyta, Magnoliopsida, Magnoliales, Magnoliaceae.
UUUUCCACCAGUUUUAUAAAUAGCCUAUUGAAAUGUCAUGGAACAUUCCUGCCAUGGGAAUUUUAUGUAUUUCCGAUCAUUAUUUAUGAAUACUGUGGGGUGGGUCAAAAAAGAGAAAAAAAAGGAAGAAAGAAAAGAAAAAAGAAUCCUCCUGUGGGAGUGAGAUGUAGCUUCUAGUUUUCUUUGGCAUUUUAGUUCUCUUUGACAUUUUCUUAUUCUAUUCAACCCUUCAGAUCAAUUUCAUUCAACUCCUUGCUCCGAUGACGGAACUAGUGACUAUUGAUCAUGGAAUUCAUUAUUCAUGGACUCCACUUUCUGAACUUCGAAGAAGCAUCUGUUGGGAGUUGUGUAGACUGUAGAGUGCAUAAUGAAAAUUUGAGGAAAGCAUUAGCAACCCAACACUGCCAGCGAUGGUAGUUAUAUGCCCAAGUUUUCAAUAUCUUUUCACUGGCCUUGGAUUCUUGAUUUGUCUCAUUUGAUACUGGAGUUGGUAUAGAUAAGAGGAAAAUAUCCUUGCUUUGUCAGUCAUCAAGUGACUGCUGCUUUUUAAUGUCACACGACCAACUUGGCAGUUUUUUUAUUUAUAUUUUUUAUAAUGGUGUCUCAUAGUUACAUGUGUUAUGGCUGUGCGUGUCAACAUCAAGGUAUUUAAAAACAGUUGCUUAACAGUAAUGGUGGGAACCGUUACAUGUUACGGGCGGCCGGUAAUACUGUUAUCGGAUAACUUAGUUGACAAGGAUGCGUGUGUUGGUGGCAGACAACUGAAAUAUAUAUUGACGAAAAGGACAGUUGCCUGAGUGGUGGCCAUCAAAUGGCUCCUGCAUUUCUCGUGGAAUGCAAAAAAAAUGACUUUAACAUCUUUACCCAUUUUCAUUUAUGGCUUUGGAUGUGUUGGUGUCAGAAAAACACAAGGUGUGACUUGUGAGACAUGGUCACCUUGAUAUAUUUGAGAUUGGGCACCCUCAUAGAGGACCGGAUGUGUUUUUCAUCCUCAUCAUUCUCACCACCAUCAUCAUGGUCUUGUCCAGCUAUUUGGGUUUGGUGAGUGAACAAUCCCUAAUAUUCCUUCUCAGGCAAUUCUAAAUGCCCCAUCAAUGGUGACUGGUGAGUGAACAAUCCCUAACAUUCCUUCUCACCGAAGUCCUUUUUGGGCCUACCUUCCGUCCUUUUUUCAGGUCCUUAAACAGUUCUAACCUAAUCAAUUUCACUUCUUAUUGGAGCCAUCUCCUGUGAGAAACCUGCAUGCACCCACACACACAUGGGUUCUCAAACCCAUGACCUCAGAUUUGAGACACACGGUGUCUACCACUGAGCCAUGAUGGAUGGCAAUGUUGAUGCUAAUGAUGUUUUACAAAUGAUUAUGAUGAUGUUCACACAUAUCGAUAGUUAACCUGCAACCACACAUCCAAAUACGUACUAGAAAUUAGACCAUCUAGUGGUCUGCUCCACUUUGAAUGGAUCAUAAACAAGCAGUAAAUAAUGAAAUUAUAUCAUAAUAUUAGAGUCAUGGAUACCUGAUGGACGGCGUUUUGUUUAUCUAUUUCAAUCCUGGAAUGGCACAUUGUUUUCCAAACUGAGUAAACUAAUACAGUGUUUGCUGACUGAGUUCAAAGUUUGUAGAGAACAAAACUUAAUUGGUAUUUUUUGUUAUGAUAUUUUCUUUAACCAGUUCCAAAAUAGUUCUUAUAUCCAAAUAGCUCCUUAGUCUCUUUCCACUUUAUUGUUGUUUUGGAACUCAGGUUAGGAUUUCCUAAAAAUCACAUGGCACAAAAUAUAGUUCUUGAUGCCUCUUGAUGUCUUCCGUAAUAUUGAGCUUAUUUUGAUCUUGCAAAUUAUCUUACUCUUUGGAAGCCAUUCUUAUUUCAUGUUUUGAACCCAUUCUUCCCAGUAUAAUUUGGCUGGUAAGAGAUAUUGUUCCUUCUACUCUUUGAAAAUAAGACAAUCUUUGAAGCAGUCUGUAUAAUCCCAGUAUCCACACACUGGGGGAAAAGAAAAAGGUGCCUUUGGCAGCUUGCUAUGACUAUGAGUAUCUGGCAAAAAUAUGGAAAGAGAGAACUAGUAGAAUAUUUUUCUAAUAAAGGUACCUCAGUUGGAGAUACUUUUUCCAGGGUUUGGUAUGAAUUGUAAGUUGGAAUUCAGCGCUAAAAUAUUUUAGUGGAUAUUCCAGCGAUCAAAUUUAACUUUGUUUCUCUUUAUAUGAAUAGUAAGGAAAAUUUUAUUAAAGAGAGAAAAACUGGGUAGAGGCCAAAUCCAAGGACACUAACUGAGACCAAAAAAGAGAGAAAAAAAAAGAAAA